CCUACGGGGGGCUGCAGUCGAGAAUCAUUCACAAUGGGGGAAACCCUGAUGGUGCGACGCCGCGUGGGGGAAUGAAGGUCUUCGGAUUGUAAACCCCUGUCAUGUGGGAGCAAAUUAAAAAGAUAGUACCACAAGAGGAAGAGACGGCUAACUCUGUGCCAGCAGCCGCGGUAAUACAGAGGUCUCAAGCGUUGUUCGGAAUCACUGGGCGUAAAGCGUGCGUAGGCUGUUUCGUAAGUCGUGUGUGAAAGGCGCGGGCUCAACCCGCGGACGGCACAUGAUACUGCGAGACUAGAGUAAUGGAGGGGGAACCGGAAUUCUCGGUGUAGCAGUGAAAUGCGUAGAUAUCGAGAGGAACACUCGUGGCGAAGGCGGGUUCCUGGACAUUAACUGACGCUGAGGCACGAAGGCCAGGGGAGCGAAAGGGAUUAGAUACCCUA
Molecule: ribosomal RNA, 440 nt
Filed under: uncultured bacterium
Lineage: Bacteria
Description: bacterial SSU rRNA
Rfam family: Bacterial small subunit ribosomal RNA
Source: RNAcentral